UAGCAUGGAAUAAUGGAAUAGGAUCACGAUCUUAUUUUGUUGGUUCUAGGAUCGAGAUAAUGAUUAAUAGGGAUAGUUGGGGACAUUAAUAUUUAAUUGUCAGAGGUGAAAUUCUUGGAUUUAUGAAAGAUUAACUUCUGCGAAAGCAUUUGUCAAGGAUGUUUUCGUUAAUCAAGAACGAAAGUUAGGGGAUCGAAGACGAUCAGAUACCGUCGUAGUCUUAACCAUAAACUAUGCCGACUAGGGAUUGGUGGCAGUUAAUUAUAUGACUUCAUCAGCACCAUAUGAGAAAUCAAAGUUUUUGGGUUCCGGGGGGAGUAUGGUCGCAAGGCUGAAACUUAAAGGAAUUGACGGAAGGGCACCACCAGGAGUGGAGCCUGCGGCUUAAUUUGACUCAACACGGGGAAACUCACCAGGUCCAGACACAAUGAGGAUUGACAGAUUGAGAGCUCUUUCUUGAUUUUGUGGGUGGUGGUGCAUGGCCGUUCUUAGUUGGUGAGGUGACUUGUCUGCUUUAUUGCGAUAACGAACGAGACCUUAACCUGCUAACUAGCCCGUAUUGCUCUGGCAGUACGCUGGCUUCUUAGAGGGACUAUUGGCGCAAGCCAAUGGAAGUAUGAGGCAAUAACAGGUCUGUGAUGCCCUUAGAUGUUCUGGGCCGCACGCGCGCUACACUGACGGAGCCAGCGAGUCUUCCUUGGCCGAAAGGCCUGGGUAAUCUUGUUAAACUCCGUCGUGCUGGGGAUAGAGCAUUGCAAU
Molecule: ribosomal RNA, 759 nt
Filed under: uncultured eukaryote
Lineage: Eukaryota
Description: SSU rRNA
Rfam family: Eukaryotic small subunit ribosomal RNA
Source: RNAcentral